RNAcentral lists this small nuclear RNA (103 nucleotides) under Dasypus novemcinctus (nine-banded armadillo). The record is from RNAcentral. Lineage: Eukaryota; Metazoa; Chordata; Mammalia; Cingulata; Dasypodidae.
UUGCUUUGGUAGCACAUAUACUAAAAUUGGAACGAUACAAAGAAGAUUAACACAGCUCCUGAGUAAGGAUGGCAUGCAUAUUCAUGAAGCAUUCCAUAUUUUA